This is a small nucleolar RNA of Malania oleifera, 106 nucleotides long. NCBI's taxonomy places the organism in Eukaryota, Viridiplantae, Streptophyta, Magnoliopsida, Santalales, Ximeniaceae. The record is from RefSeq and is a predicted model, not a curated record.
ACUUGAUGAUGUGGACAUUUACGCAGAAAGUCCCUAAAAUGCUCCCAAGUCUCGAAGAAUUGCUCAUCCUUCAUCUAGGAAAAACUAGUGAUAACCUUCCUAAGCU